CGCCGCCCGCCCCCCCCUCCGCCCCAGCUCAGCGGUUUCCCCUGCUCUCGGCGACCACAGCCUCCACCGACCGGCCCGCUAGCACCACACCAGUUGCACCGUCCAGGCCUGGCCUAUUCUUGGUUCUAAGUCUUGGGGAGGCAAAGAAUACCAGGAUUCCGAGCCCCGGUUCGAUUGGACAAGACUGUGCAAACAAGGAGUUCUCAAAACACUGUUUGGAGUGUGGCUCCAGUGCCCCUAAGCAAUUGACCAUCCAGUUGGAGAGGUGAGACACUUUGGUCCGUGAAGGGACGAAAUAAAAGAGUUUGGAUGUGUUCCAGGACAGAACAGAACCAACUUGAACCAACCUGUUAUCACCAUGGUCACUAACACCCGCUACCCCCUGCCCCCAACAUGGGCAUAAGUUACCAGAUCAACCCUAUAACUUCAGGGCUUUGAAGUUCUUAUCAAAGCAACAGGACUUCUUUGGCAACUCCCCAGGGCCAUUUGACACUUUCUGGAGCCAGCCGCCUAUCAGGAGCUCCCAGAACUCCACUCAGACAGAUCUCUGGCCACCACGGUCCCUUGCGAGGUUCUGGGUAAACAGCUCCAGGAGGACAGGCCAGAUCUGCUUGGGGCAGCAAGCUGGGAGCUGGCCCACAUGCCUGGAUGUUCUCCAGGAACUCACCUAGAUUUGACCUGACAUGUUAACAUCUAGGGUCUUAAUGAAACGGAUUCACUGUAUCUCUUUCGCAGCACUGUUACACUUUACUGGGGUAAUAGCUCCUCCGUUUUGUUUAGGCUCUUCUUCCCAAUUGCCAGAUCCAAAGUACAAUUCUCAGCUCUCAUUCUACUUGACCUCUCUCCUUCAUUUGAAUACUUCCUCCGUGAGUUUCUUCUCCAUCGUUUUCCAUGAUUCCACUUUCUUCUAUAUUCUCCUUCUUCCAUGACCAUUCUCCUUUGCCGGCUCAGCUUUCUUUGGCUCUGACCUGUUCCUGAGCCAUCCCUGAAUCUCUUCCUGUAUACAACCUGUGUCACGCUCUCACUCACAUUCCACAAUGUCAGCUGCUACCCAGAUCUUGAGGAGUGAUGAAUCUGGACCUCCAGCUCCUCAGGAGCAGGCCUGAACACUAGUUUUGGUCACAUCACAGGCCCAUCAAUUUGGACAAAUCCCAAACCUUAUUCCCAAGCCUGCUUUCCUCCAGUCUUUUUUUUUUUUUUUUUACCAAAUCACCCAAACUAGAAGUCCCAAGAGUCAUCCACAGCUCCUACCUCAACCCCUUAAUCUAAUCGGUCACCAAGUCUUAUCAGUUUUAACUUUGAAUCUCCACUCUACCCUCCACCCCCCAGCCGAGCCUUUAGCAUAUCUCUUCUCAUCAGUAGCCUCUUAACUAAUCUGGCCUCUACUCAUUCCCCAUUGCUCCAGAGUUCUCUUUCUACAAUACAAACGUGAAUUUGUUCCUUAAAAUUCUCAACAGUCUCCAUAAACAUGAGCCUCAUGGCUGUGACAUAUCUGGCCAGGAUCUGUGCACCUACCUUAUUUCCCUCCACCUUCCACACAAAUACACCUUAAAUUUCAGUUGUAACAAGCCAAGCUUGCCCUACUCCUUUGUGUCUCCUUGCUUUCUCUCAUUCUGCUAUCCCUGGCAUUGGCGCUAAUACUAAUCGAGGGCUGCCAUGCACUAUUCUGAGCCCACAGCACUCACUAACUCCCAUAAGCCUCACUUCAGCCCUAUGAACUGUGCCCAGUGAUCACGCCCAUUCUACAGAGGAGGAAACUGAAGCACACAAAUGUUAAAUAACAUGCCUAAGUUUCCUUGGCUGGUAAGUAGUAGAACUGGGAUUUAAGCCCACAUAGUCUGGCUACAGACUAUUCUCUUAACCACCAUACUCUAUUUCCUACCAAGGCCUCAUCUCAAUUUAAAGACCAUCUUCUCUAUGAUUAUCUCCUGACAUCAUUCAUUCCUGGAUUACAGCAGUUAAGCAUUGUUUUCCUUUCUGUACUUGUGACACCUUGUAUACUCUUCUAUUACACUUAGGACAUUUUUGACAUCAUACAGUAAUCAUGUGCCUGUGUGACCACCUCCCCUGCCAGACUGUGUACUCCUCCAGGGCAGAGACUCACACAUCUUUGAGUUUUCAGUGUCAGAGCAAGUACCUGACAUAUAUGACAUAUGCAUGUGCUACAUGAUAAUAGUUGAAUAAAUUAAAAGAAAGAAGAUUUGGAUGCCUGGGUAGCUCAGCGGUUUAGUGCCUGCCUUCAGGCCAGGGCGUGAUCCUGGAGUCCCGGGAUCGAGUCCCGCAUCGGGCUUCCUGCAUGGAGCCUGCUUCUCCCUCUGCUUGUGUCUCUGCCUCUCUCUCUCUGUGUCUCUCAUGAAUAAAUAAACAAAUUUGGUCUUAUUGAUCCAUUUUAAAAAAUAAAAUGAAAGAAGAUAUCUGAUAUCUGUCAAUUUGCCUUAAGGCUAUGCCUAUGUUGUUUGUUAUUGUAAUGGAAUGUCUGUCUUCUUUGGCAGAUGUAUGUUAUACCAUAUGGUCAGAUGGUAAAUGUAGUAGCAACUGUACCCAUUACUGCACUUAGAAGCUACAGAACUGAAUGUGAAAUGGAGAAUUAUUACCCAAUCAUCAUUAUUGAGGAAACAUAUUUGUUAAAAUUGUCCUGAUUAUUUUUGAAAUGGAAAAGUCCUGAAGAUAAAGCAUAAAUUACAAUAUUUGAUCAAAUAAGGAAUAUUCAUUAACAUGUUAGUGUUACUUUUUGUCACGAAGUUUCAAAUAUUUAAGACUUUGAGGUUUUUUUAAGAACAGAAUUUGUAAAGACUAUUUCCUAAGUGACAAUCUCAAUACAAAAUAAGAAGAUGGAACCAUGUAGCUGAAAUCCACUAUCCUCAUUCCGUGUGUGUAUACAGAUAGACAGAUGUGUAUACACAUCUAUUGCUACAUAGACAAAUUAAUAGAGAGUAUUUGUAGGUAGUAUAACUUUUCAAGGUAAAAUAUGCAACUAUUUGAAAAUGAAUGUUGCUUCAGAUGCUUAAAAAUUCAUGUUAAAAUAAAUAUAUUUGCUGA
This is a long non-coding RNA of Canis lupus familiaris (dog), 3039 nucleotides long. RefSeq lists it as uncharacterized. The transcript is spliced from 2 exons. Lineage: Eukaryota; Metazoa; Chordata; Mammalia; Carnivora; Canidae. The record is from RefSeq and is a predicted model, not a curated record.